This is a non-coding RNA of Meleagris gallopavo (turkey), 5459 nucleotides long. NCBI's taxonomy places the organism in Eukaryota, Metazoa, Chordata, Aves, Galliformes, Phasianidae. The record is from RefSeq and is a predicted model, not a curated record.
UGACAUCCUAAUAAAAAUGAGAAACUUGUUAAACUUACAACAGGGAAGAGGAAGUGAGAGGAACAACCUCAGAGCAUUGCAAAAACAAUGCAGGAAAAAGCUAUGGUGUCAAACAGGCUUUAUUCAGAGAUGCUGCUGUAUCAAAAUGCAGGAUGUUGAACCCCUAGGUUAUUUCAUCCUUUGCUACACACAGAAAACAAACGGUCAUGGAAGAAACAGCUGCUGCAAUUGGAGGGAAAAUGUGUGAGCUCACAAAGGAGAGGGGAAUACUUUCUACUUGCAGAAAGCACACGUAACAAGGACAAUUUAUCACCCGAAGUUCUAUCUACUGUGCCUUUCUUUGUGAAGAUGCAAAAGAAAUCCUGAGCAUCUACUUUAUUGAAAUUCUGUUAUUGUGAAAUCACACACAGUGGGAGACUGUGGGUUUAUAUUGAAAGUUACCAAGGUGGCACCGAAAAUGAAGCUAAGAAUUAAUUGAGGAUUCAAAUGUAAGUAGGUGACCAUGCAAUCACUAUAAAAACCUUAGCCAAAUAAGAAAUGUUAUCAUUCGAAUUAGAACUUAUUUUUUUUUUUAGUGACAAAACUGUAUUACUCAACUGCCGUAAUUCUUGUUAAAAGUGAUGGAAUAAUUGCUUUAACUCCAACAAACUGAACUCCUAUUUUGUCUUCAAAAUAUUAGCAAAAGCCCAGAGCCAAAGGAUUCUAAGUCUGUACCAGAGAACAGCACUUCAAAUGUUCUGUGUGUCAAUGUGCAACAGACAAAGGGAUAGGAACAUUCAUAUCUCAUGGCGCAGAUGCAACUAUCAUAAGAUUGAGACUCGCUCUUCAAUAUUUCUUUUCCAGACCUCAGUUAUGAAUGACAGUAGGUAGGAAAAAAAUUAGUUGCAGCACAAGCGAAAGAAGUUUCGAAGUUGUAGUGGAAAUGCUGAGUCACGGUGUGAAGCAGUGACUGAGCACCUGGUGGGAAGGCAGGGCCAACCUGGGAACUACUAAUGGAAGACAGCGCUCAAUCAGCUGCUCUGCUGCAGGAGCUGAUAGAGGCGUGUGAGCAGCCUGCAGAAAUCCUGCAGGACAGAGCUGCUGGGCCACGGAGCCAAGGCGCCGCAGGGCUCACUGCCCUUGCUCCAGCCUUGCCGUGACUUGAGAAUGGGCAAGGAAUGCCCUUUCCCACCAUGCAUCCACGUAAAUGGUCCUGAUUGCCUUACAGUGUAAGAAGAGGUCUGCAGAGCUGGGAUGCCAGCAGUCCCCAGGCAUCUGCACUGCCGGCUGUUCCAGCCUGUGCAGGGCUAGCACCAAGAGGUGCCCAUCUCGGCUCCAGCAGAGGCCAGGCAGCUGCCUCGGGUCCCUGUGGCCACCACGGGGGGGAAGAGGUUCCGGUGCUGGCCGAGGCCUCAUCUCACACACCAAACUCCUGGUGUCUGUAACAGGAGGAAGGUGACACGUCAGGAAGAGCACAUCACUUCCUUGAUGCAAGAGACGGUGGUGGCUGUGUGAGUAAGACAGAAAGCCCCGCUGUGAUCCUGGGCAGGGAAGGGUCACCUCAAGGCCACGGCAGUGGAUAUGGGCCUUCCUCUGUUUGUGGGGAUGAAGGAGGAUUUCAGAGUGACCAAACCUUCACACACCCCAACACGCGUCCCUGCUUUGCCUUGUCCUCUACGAUAAGCAGACGGCAGGACAGAGACAUCCACUCACAACCUGGCUGCGGUGAGUUGCCCUGGGGUCCAGAGACAAUCAGGCAUCUUUUGACUUCUGGAGGAAUGGAAAGCUUCAGUAUUUCUUAGUGUACUGUGUGGGGAGAGCAGGUGGGAUGAUGGUUUUGGCAGCCCUGCUUGUACUAUGACAGAUUCGGUUGCUCCCUGUAUGGCACAGAUCCAUGCAGGCAUUUGGAGGGCUUGCUUGGAAAGUGCUGAGACAAAUGUGCCCCUGGGUCUGAGUGAACCUUCUUCUGUUGUACAGGAGGUUUCUGCUGUUCUUGGGCUUGCUUGUCUUCUUCAUCCUGGUCCUGCUGCAAAGGGACAUCCUCCACGGGGUCCUGCCUGCAGAGCUGGCAACUGCCCUUGGCAGCCGUCCACCAAAACCUGCUCUUUUCUGAUUCUAGAAUGCACUGCAGCCCUUCAUCGUGGCACUGUUAGGUGUGCCCAGGCAUUAGGUGUGCCUGCCCUGUCACUGAUAACAUCAAUGAAAAUCCAACUCCAUUCCAAAAUGUCUCAUUUGUGCAUGGCAAUCGUUAGACCCCAUUGACAAAUGUCUGUUGUACCACGUGAAGGAGAUAGUGAGAUUCUGGAGCUUAGUAACAGGAGUCAGAGUUCUCCGAGCAUUGAGGAGGCCCCAAAUGACAAUCCACAUGAGUUGCAUCUGUAUGAUCACGAUUCAGAUGUUCAGCAUGAGCAAAUACAUAACCUUUCUUGUGGUGUGUCUCCCAAUAUUUCCCUUUUUUUGUUUAUUAAGAAUUGAUUUCAGUGUUUGAUGAAUACACUCAAUGAUAGCUUGUCCAAUGGAAGAAUGUGGAAUGCCUGUAGUAUGUCUAAUCCCCAUUCCUGGAGGAAAGUUUGAGUGGCCUUAGAAGGAUAUGCAGGUCCAUUAUCUGUUUUUUAUAGUAUGGGGGAUCCCCGUUACAGCAUAAGCAGAUAACCAGUGUUUACAGGCAUUACAACUGCGUUUGCCUGUAUGUGCUGUGGCAAAUAUGUAAGAAGAAUGCCUGCCUAUUGUUACGUGUACAUAUCUUAGAUGGCCAAAUUUGGGAACAUGAGUGACAGCUGUCUGCCACAGUUGAAGAGCAGCUGUGCCACGGAGAUUUGUCCCAAUUUCAGGCAAAGUCUGGGCAUGUUAGAAUAAUGUUAUGGGCUUGAUCCACUGUCAGCUGGAAUUGUUUUUGUAAAGCUCUCCUAUUCUGAUGGAAAAACUGAUGGGAGAGUCACGCUUGUGAAAUAAUUGAGAGGUAGCAAAGGCGACUUGAUCAGCCUUAUGGUUGCCCUCAGUUAAAAGACCAGGCAACGUAGUGCGUGAUUGAAUAUGUAUAAUGAAAUAAGGAAGAGUACGGUGAGAGACAUAAUGUAAAACUCACACUCUUCUGCCCAUUUUCCCACAGACCGCAUGACCGUGCAACAACAGGGAGUUUAGAUCGGCAUUCUCUCGCCCAGUGCAGCCCCCUCCUGCAUGGGAGACAGGGUUGAAUUGGCAUAUCACAAGCAUUUUCAUUUGCUUGCUUAGGCUUUUUGCAGUCCCUUUGUACAUAACCAUACAAUUGUAACAAUUUCAUUUCCUGCUGUCAGGAAAUGAAGUCAGGCUGCCAGCAUGUCUGCUAGCAAGGCCAUUUUAUGACCUACCGUGCCUACGUUUUGACAGGCUUCAAUCAUAUCAGUAAUGGAUGGAUCUGCAUUCAUUACGGAUUGUAAAACUGUUCCAAAGUCCACAUUUGCAUUUUCUAUUGCUCACUGCUUAAUCAAAGCAUCUUGGGCGGCUUGAUUUACUACUUGUCUCUCCGGCAUAUUUUGUCAAGCAAUUUAAUGUAGGGCUCAGCAGCCCCUGCUUAAUUGAUGUAAAUGAGGCAUUAGAUGAAUUAGUAUCAGGAAUCCGACGGACGGCGUGCAUCACCAAAGUUUUCACUUGUUCAAAGCGCUGCCUAUCCAUCUGUGCCUGGGCCUGAGGUGUUGCCCAGAUCCCCUCCCCCAUGAGUUCCUCCAUGCCCAUAUGAUUUAAGUUAUUGAAAUUGUUCAUAGCCUGGACGGUAGCCUGCUCUUGGUAUUCAGUCAUAAACACUGUAUAUUGCAUGGGAGACAAGAUCAUUCGUAACAAAAUUUUCCAGUCAUGAGGGGUCGUAACAAAACUGUCACCAAUUGCAACCAAAAGAUUACAUGUAAAGGCAGACUGAACUCCAUAACCUCUGGCUUCCUUAGCUCCUUUACUCCCUCAUAAGGCAGGGAUUCCCACUCGAGGGGCUGAUGUGGAUGAUAAAGCACAGGAAAGGCCUGCAUCGUUUCAGCAUCACCCCGUGAUACUGCUUCUUUUCUGCACCGUUCUAAAGCACCGUAGUACGUUGUAGAAGAAUUUUUCUUUCCCGCACCCUUCAAUUUAUCAUCAGGAGGGAAAAUGUUCGGUUCGUCUUCCGGAUCUACUGGACCAGGAUCAAAAAGUUCCGUCCUUGUCUUUAACCAAGUUACAUGCGGGCUGCACAGACGCAGCAGCAGGCGACGUAGGCGGGGCGGAGGGAGGCUGCGUUACGGCGAGCGUCGGGGGCGGAGGGCGGGAGUGGCGUGGCAGCGGUUGGAGAGGAGCUGUGUUUUCUCUUCUCCUCGGCCGUGGGCGGUCGGAGCCGCGGAUCGAAUCCGGGCUGCGGCUGCUUUCCGGGCUGAGGGGCAGCGGCGGGGGUGGCAGGGAGGGCGAUGGGGAAGAAAUUCUUCCUUAUCGCUGCCGGGCCGGACUCGCUCAGCCUCGGCUUCAUUUGCUCCACGUGGUCGGCGCCGUUUGCAGCGUCUGAUGCACGCACUCAGAUGUGAACGAUCCUAAUCGUUUAUUACAAGUGCUCACAUCACUCCUAUGCGGUCACAAGUUUUCUAGCUUUCCGAUCCUGCCCUACAACUUUCCCAUCCAUAUUUACAUCUCAACAGAGCAAUUUACAAACGCUCCUUAGCCGUUCACGCGGUCGAUUAUCCACUCAGAGUCGUGAGCCGUUCUUUCUUCUUCUAGAAGUGUCCUUAGUUCUCACGCUGUUUAUCUUGCUCCACAGCUGCUGCUCUGAACAGUUUUUCUGGUAUUCCCACAGGGCAGGGAUUUUGGCAGCCCUGUAUGACAGAUUUGGUUGCUCCGUCUACGGCACAGGUCUGUGGGGCAGUUUGGAGUGGUUGGUUGGAAAGUGCUGAUAUAAAUGUGGCCCCGGGUCUGAGUGAAACUACUUCUGUUGCACAGGAGGUUUCUGCUGUUCUUGGGUCUGCUGCAGCUUGUCUUCUUCAUCCUGGUCCUGCUGAAGAAGGACAUCUUGCAGAGCUUGCAACUGCCCUUGGCAGCUGUCCACCAAAACCUCUUUUCUGACCGCAGCACACACUGCAGCCCUUCAUCAUGGCACUGUUAGGUGUGCCCAGGCAUUAUGUGUGCCUGCCCUGUCACUAAUAACAUCAAUAAAAUCCAUCAAAAUUACAAAACGCAAGAAUAUACACUAUCACAAGAAAUGCCUCGGAAAGCAAGUUCUGAGCAAAAAACAAGGGUUCAGACAACCCAUCGCAACUGCUAAAUGAGCUCUUGGAGAACUCUUGGGUGGCAUUUCUGUGCUUUCACCUAUGGCGACUAUAUCCAAUUUCUACUCCAGAGCUAAAACCUUUACGUUCCUGGAAAAAAAAAAUUUUUUUUUUUUGUAAGCUUGUUCAUCAAUUGGCUAAGGACACUCCAGGGAACAGUGAAAAACAUGUAGCCUUGCGUUCCAUUGUGUUAAGGGAACGUGAAAAUAGCUAUCAAGAAUUGAAAAA